RNAcentral lists this long non-coding RNA (335 nucleotides) under Equus asinus (donkey). Its description in RNAcentral is "lncRNA (ENSEASG00005028101.1)". Lineage: Eukaryota; Metazoa; Chordata; Mammalia; Perissodactyla; Equidae. The record is from RNAcentral.
CUUUGAGCGGGUCUUUGUGGCGAUCGCUCUCCCCACUCCAGAAUCGCUGUUUUCCUCCAGCUGUGGGCCGACGAAACGACUCUAAUGUGGCGUGUGGACUGGGAGACAUCCAAAGAAGGUUCAGAGAGGCUGUGGGGCCGGCUCGGGCUACACCCCAGAGAGCCACGCUCCACCCCAGGAAUGACCAGGACACGUGCCACUUCAGGGGCGCCCCCGCAGGGCCCAACGGGGCUCCUCAUUGGGCCCCCACUGCUGUCCCAGCGGUGCAGGGAAAUGCUGGUACAUAAUGGUGCAACUCACAAUCGAUGGCAUUGUCAAUUGGAUGAAACACAGCA